UAACUAUCACCAGAACCAUAAAAAAUAAAAAAAAAUGAUGAUAAUUUUGCGAAGACAAGAGAUGAAUGAUUUCCUACAAACCUACAAAGCAAAUACAAAAGAUGAAUAGGGGAGAUUUCCUGCAAGAAAAGACGAACGAACAGUGAAAAAUAUCAUACAUAAAUAAUGACGAUUCUUUGUGAUAAACAGUAAAGAUUCUCUAAAAAAAAU
RNAcentral lists this long non-coding RNA (210 nucleotides) under Gossypium raimondii (Peruvian cotton). RNAcentral describes it as "long non-coding RNA (GRAI_LNC003120)". The record is from RNAcentral. Lineage: Eukaryota; Viridiplantae; Streptophyta; Magnoliopsida; Malvales; Malvaceae.